RNAcentral lists this ribosomal RNA (411 nucleotides) under uncultured soil bacterium. RNAcentral's name for it is "bacterial SSU rRNA". It matches the Rfam family "Bacterial small subunit ribosomal RNA", at positions 62 to 519 of the family's 1533-position model. The record is from RNAcentral.
UCGAACGAACUCUUCGGAGUUAGUGGCGGACGGGUGAGUAACACGAGGGAACGUGCCUUUAGGUUCGGAAUAGCUCCUGGAAACGGGUGGUAAUGCCGAAUGUGCCCUUCGGGGGAAAGAUUUAUCGCCUUUAGAGCGGCCCGCGUCUGAUUAGCUAGUUGGUGAGGUAAAGGCUCACCAAGGCUACGAUCAGUAGCUGGUCUGAGAGGAUGACCAGCCACAUUGGGACUGAGACACGGCCCAAACUCCUACGGGAGGCAGCAGUGGGGAAUCUUGCGCAAUGGGCGAAAGCCUGACGCAGCCAUGCCGCGUGGAUGAUGAAGGUCUUAGGAUUGUAAAAUCCUUUCACCGGUGAAGAUAAUGACUGUAGCCGGAGAAGAAGCCCCGGCUAACUUCGUGCCAGCAGCCGCG